This 633-nucleotide ribosomal RNA is filed under the name uncultured bacterium. RNAcentral describes it as "bacterial SSU rRNA". The stretch from base 1 to 544 matches the Rfam family "Bacterial small subunit ribosomal RNA", at positions 338 to 873 of the family's 1533-position model. The record is from RNAcentral.
CCUACGGGAGGCAGCAGUGGGGAAUCUUGCGCAAUGGGCGAAAGCCUGACGCAGCAACGCCGCGUGGGUGAUGAAGGUCUUCGGAUUGUAAAACCCUGUCGUUAGGGACGAAGACAUGAAUCCUAAUACGAUUCAUGUUUGACGGUACCUAGAAAGGAAGCCCCGGCUAACUCUGUGCCAGCAGCCGCGGUAAUACAGAGGGGGCAAGCGUUAUUCGGAAUUAUUGGGCGUAAAGGGUGCGUAGGCGGUUUUCUAAGUCAGAUGUGUAAUCCCCGAGCUCAACUUGGGAACUGCAUCUGAAACUGGGAGACUAGAGUACUGGAGAGGAUGGUGGAAUUCCACGUGUAGCGGUAAAAUGCGUAGAGAUGUGGAGGAACACCAGUGGCGAAGGCGGCCAUCUGGACAGUAACUGACGCUGAAGCACGAAAGUGUGGGUAGCAAACAGGAUUAGAUACCCUGGUAGUCCACACCGUAAACGAUGAACACUUGGUGUAGUGGGAGUUGACCCCCACUGUGCCGUAGCUAACGCGAUAAGUGUUCCGCCUGGGGGAGGUACGGUCGCGAGCGUGAACGACGAAAGAAGUAGUAGACGGCGAGAGACGACGACGACGGACGACGACGGAGGGGAGGAGG